Molecule: ribosomal RNA, 492 nt
Filed under: uncultured bacterium
Lineage: Bacteria
Description: partial 16S ribosomal RNA
Rfam family: Bacterial small subunit ribosomal RNA
Source: RNAcentral
AGUGAACGCUGGCGGUAGGCCUAACACAUGCUAGUCGAACGGCAGCACAGUAAGAGCUUGCUCUUACGGGUGGCGAGUGGCGGACGGGUGAGGAAUACAUCGGAAUCUACUUUUUCGUGGGGGAUAACGUAGGGAAACUUACGCUAAUACCGCAUACGACCUACGGGUGAAAGCAGGGGAUCUUCGGACCUUGCGCGAUUGAAUGAGCCGAUGUCGGAUUAGCUAGUUGGCGGGGUAAAGGCCCACCAAGGCGACGAUCCGUAGCUGGUCUGAGAGGAUGAUCAGCCACACUGGAACUGAGACACGGUCCAGACUCCUCCGGGAGGCAGCAGUGGGGAAUAUUGGACAAUGGGAGCAAGCCUGAUCCAGCCAUACCGCGUGGGUGAAGAAGGACUUCGGGUUGUAAAGCCAUUUUGUUGGGAAAGAAAAGCAGCAGGUUAAUACCCCGCUGUUCUGACGGUACCCAAAGAAUAAGCACCGGCUAACUUCGUG